Ictidomys tridecemlineatus (thirteen-lined ground squirrel) is the source of this 3001-nucleotide non-coding RNA. The record is from RefSeq and is a predicted model, not a curated record. Lineage: Eukaryota; Metazoa; Chordata; Mammalia; Rodentia; Sciuridae.
CCAGGGUGAACGGCGCGCCGCCCGCGCCCGCCGCUGUGACUGUUUGGGGCGGAGCCACUUUGGAUCCGCAGCGGCUGCCGGGUCUGUGCCCACCCCUGCACGGCGGGUGUAGGGGCUAGCCCACCAGGAGAACACACAGACGGGGACCUUUGCCAGAUUCCUGUGCAGUCUCCCCUAGGGACCAGCUAGGUUGCAGCAGUCUCCUCAGCGGCCGCGCAGGUGGCUGGAGGACAGGGCGCUGGGCUUUCCUGAGCGCCAGGGUGAGUCUUGCUGUGGUGGGGCCGAGAGCCAGGAUGUUUGCCCCUCAGCCUAGCGGAGACCAGUUCCCCGCCUGCCCCUCUCCCCACUCCCCAAGCUUUACCCAGGGCUAGGACUCCUGGCUCCCACCUUCCACAAAAGGGUGCACAGUACUCUCGUCAUCUCGGUGGGGUCUCCCAUACCUUAGAGAGCAGGACUGCGGGUCAGGUCUCAGGAGAGAGGACACUGGCUGGGCUCCCCAUGCAGCUGGCCCUAACUCCAGAGCCUAGCUUGGCUAGGAGGUUCUUAAUAGCACUCCUUGUGACAGGUCCUGUAAAGCCUAAGAGUGCAGUGUGGACAGGGACACAUUCUGUCCCUGGCGCAGGUUCCCACAGGCUCCUCCCUGCUGGCAGGUGUAAGGGUCACCCAGGAUCCUGGAAAAAUGGCUGGAAGUAGUUGGGUGCAGCCCCACUGUUCAAACCUGAUUCUCAGCAUGGCAUGCUGGGGUGCACCUGUACCUUCAGCUACUCUGGAGGCGAAGACAGGAGGAUCACUUAAAUCCAAGAACUGGAGGUCAGUUUGGGCAACAUAGUGAGACCUCAUCUCAAAAACAAAACAAGACCUGGCUCUAGGGCCAAUCAAGUCAGCUGAAUCAAACUUUGUCACUGCCCCCCUGGGUGGUUUAGGAGUUAGGAUCAGUAGUCAGGGUGGGUUGGGGAGCACAGGAAACCACAGUUGGAGAAAAGACAUCUCAUAGUUGAGCGGCCUUGGCCAGCUGGCCCUGCUCUUUCUCUGGGCACUGCAUAGGGUCUGCAACAGCCCUAGCCCUAGCCUCAGGAGGAGGGGAGACACAGCCAGCAGACCUGUUCCAGCCCCAGGCUGGGGUGGCAUCCGUCUUUGGAACCUGGGUUUGGAGGUGCAAGCUCAUUUGUCAAGGCCUGGGUGUGGGUGGGGCGCCUCUAUCUCCCCUGCCCCCCUGUGUCCCUCAGGGAGAUCUGGGGGUGCAUGGCCACAAGGAGAAGACCACAGCCUGGUGCUGGCGGAGGUGGGUUUUGUCAGGACUUCAGGUGUCCCUGAACCAAACUUUGUCACUGCCCCCCUGGGGUGUUUAGGAGUUAGGAUCAGUAGUCCUCAGGCUGCGUCUGCCCUCAGGCUGUCUUGCCUUCACUUCAUGCAGCCGGUGUCCGGUUGGCUCACCGACAUGCGUUCACAGCAACCCUGGCCCCAACACAUAUCGCCCUGUGUUCUGGUACCUCACGCGUCAGAGUACUCGCUUCAUGUUGGGUGCUUAGACCAGAGCAGGCCUGGGUUGGGCCGCAUCUUCCCAGAGCUGAAGAGUCAGCCCUGUGGCUGCUCUGACCACCAAGUGGCCUCUGAUGUGUCCUCCAUGAACAGACUGUGGGAGUGGCCUUCCUGCGUGUGCCUACCACAUACCUAGAUGGCACACCUUCCUCUGGCGCUCUCUCCAGGGAUGUCGGACUUCUUCAGAGCAGGCCAGGCUGCCCCAUCUGGCCCUGGCUUUGGUGGCACUCCUGUCUUCCAACAGCUGGCUUCUCAAUUUUUACUCUUCCCUGAAUGUUCCCUCCUCUGUCCCCCUCCAUCACUCCUCCUGCCAGACCCUCCCUUCUGCAUGACAUUUGCCUGGGGUCCCUGCCCACCCUGCCCAGGGCCUGCCUGCCCUGAACUCCCUCCUCCUCAAGGCACUCAGGGACCCAGCCUUGGACACUUGUUCUGAACCUGGCUCCGUGCUGCACCAGGCCCUUGUCACAUUCAGCUGCUGUUGGGAUUUGUCCUGUUCUUCUGACCUGUCUCUCUACCAGACGAUGGCUCACUCCUGUGCUGGGGCAUGCAGUUGGCUCAGCUUGACAAGGCAGUGACCUAGAGCUCAUGCAUGCUCCCUUUACAGGGUGGAGGAGUGCUGGGGCAGCCGGAGCAGAGGUGGAGCCCACCCUCCCAGGUGCCAGGCGCUUCCUGCAGUUGCUGCUGAGGGGAAGCUGGCCGUUGCCUUGCCAGCCCCUGACGCCUGAGCACCAGCUUCUGGCAGCAGCUGCUGCAGUCCCUCCACUUGGGGGGGACCCAUCCACCUGACAGAAGUCACACAACUGUGAGGGCACCUGUGAAGUUCAUAUUACCAGCACACGCCCCGUGUGCCACCUUGCUGAGCUCCUGGCCCGUGUCCCUGUUGCCUUCCCCACAGGAGGUCUGUGUGUGCCUGGGUGUGGACGUGAGAUCAGCACAGAGGGACAGGCUCACCAGCUCAACUGCCCCUUGCAACAUGUGGGGCAGGGAAACUGCCCAAGGGAACUCCCGACACCUGUGACUUCUGACACUGGGCUCCCCACCCGGCACCCUUGGUGAGAAACAGCUCUGGGAAACUGCAUAGAGCCCAGUGGAGAAGGGACAGUCCACCUCCAGCUGACUGGCCAGGAGGCCACACCCCCAGGCUACCCCAGCACCACCUUCUUGAGGGCUGCAGAGCUCUCCACAUGCAUGCGGGCCCCGAGGCCCUGCGUUCCCUCCGGCAGUGUCUUGGCUACUCUUGGUCCUUUAGGUCACAAACACAUUCUAAACCAGUUUGCUGUGUACCUAGGGAUCUGACUGGAUGACAACAGCGCUGCUCUUGCACAGGUCUUUGUAAGGCUCUGAGCAUGACCACAAGCUCCUCUCCACUGCCCGAGCCUCCUCUAUCCCCUGGAUGAUGCCCUGCAGUUGUCUGUGAAGGGACCUUGUGCAUUUUCUAUUACAGUUGUCGUGGAUCUUUGAA